This 377-nucleotide ribosomal RNA is filed under the name uncultured bacterium. RNAcentral's name for it is "bacterial SSU rRNA". It matches the Rfam family "Bacterial small subunit ribosomal RNA", at positions 28 to 404 of the family's 1533-position model. The record is from RNAcentral.
GACGAACGCUGGCGGCGUGCUUAACACAUGCAAGUCGAGCGGUAAGGCCCUUUCGGGGGUACACGAGCGGCGAACGGGUGGGUAACACGUGGGUGACCUGCCCUCAGCUCUGGGAGUAAGCCUGGGAAACCGGGUCUAAUACCGGAUAUGACUCCAUGACGCAUGUUGUGGGGUGGAAAGCCUUGUGCGGCUGAGGAUGGGCCCGCGGCCUAUCAGCUUGUUGGUGGGGUGAUGGCCACCAAGGCGACGACGGUAGCCGGCCUGAGAGGGCGACCGGCCACACUGGGGACUGAGACACGGCCCAGGACUCCUACGGGAGGCAGCAGUGGGGAAUCUUGCGCAAUGGGGCGAAAGCCUGACGCAGCGACGCCGCGUGA